CUGCGAAAUGAUGGCUCUCUAUGUUGCAGCAUAAAAGACCUGAAAAUUGUCCAAAUCUGGCAGUAUUUGUGGCUACAGAAAAGGAUUCCUUCCUGCGCAAUGAUGGCUCUCUAUGUUGCAGCAUAAAAGACCUGAAAAUUGUCCAAAUCUGGAAGUCCUUGUGGUUACUGAAAGAGCAAAUGUUCCCCUAUUCAUUUAUGCUCCUUCCUGCGCACUGAUGGCUCUCUAUGUUGCAGUAUAAAACACCUGAAAAAUGUUCUAAUCUGCCAAUCCUGAUGGCAUCUGAAAGAGCGAGUGUUCCUCUUUCCAUCGAUGUAAGUUUCAUAUCAAUAUUUGAUUUAGUUCAGAAAUGGUCCUCGGAAG
Molecule: long non-coding RNA, 363 nt
Organism: Acanthaster planci (crown-of-thorns starfish)
Lineage: Eukaryota; Metazoa; Echinodermata; Asteroidea; Valvatida; Acanthasteridae
Source: RefSeq, a predicted model, not a curated record